This is a non-coding RNA of Labrus bergylta (ballan wrasse), 3901 nucleotides long. The record is from RefSeq and is a predicted model, not a curated record. NCBI's taxonomy places the organism in Eukaryota, Metazoa, Chordata, Actinopteri, Labriformes, Labridae.
GAUUAUCAAGAAUCUUUAUUUUACCUGAGAUGCUUUGUGACCUGUAGUUAUAACGUCGCACCAAAAGAGGAGAUGAAUCGAUUGUCAGCAGGCAGCUUGUCAGUUUAGAUUUGACUGUUUUUUUUUGUUGUUUUUUUCCACUUCCUUGUCACUGAGCUCUGCAAUCUGGCUUUCUCUCUCACUUCUACCAGUGGCCGUGUUUCUCCCAGCAGAUGGCGGAGCGAGGCAGGACUGUGAGGGUGAGUGGUCUGCCCGCCGACAUUGAGGAUGGCAGGCUGAAAGAUAAGCUAUUAAUCUACUUCCUGAGAAAAAGGAAUGGAGGAGGGGAAAUAGAUUCCGUCACCAUCGUCAAGGCAUUGCACGUCUGUGCCCUUAUCACCUUUGAGGACAUUGGAGUGGCACAGAGAGUUAUUCAACACAGCCGGCACAUUCUGGAAGUGGAUGGAAAGAGGCAUAAAGUCACUGUAACUGAGCACCAAGAGAGACUGGAUCCAGACGAGGUCAUCCUGAGUUUAUCAGCAACUGUCAACUAUAGCCAGCUUCCCGGGGGAAUGAUUGCAUUGACAAGCCUUCUCACGAGCCACCCAGAUAUCCAGAUAAACUACCGUGCUACUGAGGAACUGUGCACUUUGCAGGGGGCUUAUUCCAAAAUCCAAGCUGCCUUGGCACAACUACUCAGCUACCCUGGAGGCCCUCAAUCAGCAGGAGCGAAGGACCCAAGUCAACUUGCAACAAGUGACUCCUGCUCAAUUCAGAUGGCAUAUCAUGAGCCUAAUACGCAGGAAUCUGAAGAUAAAAGCAGGAAACCUUGUGAAAAAAGAAAACAGAGAGAGAAAGUUCAUCCAGUUGGCCCUUCUAAUGAACGCAACUUAAGCUCAUACAGACACUUGACAGAUGGAGGUUACGGCAGGGAAGAUACCGAGCAGACAGAGGGUGCAGCUCUGCAGCUUCCUGAGCAUCCUACCACACCAGAGGAGGACUUCUCACUCAUUGUAGAUGCAGACUUGUUCCAAUAUCUACAGAGAAAUUGCCAAAGGGAAUAUCAGAAGAUCCUCAGUCAGUACAGUGUGGAUGUGGUUGAUGUGACAAAUCAGGGGUUGACAACACUGUUUUUGCAGAUUGCAACAGGAGUGGGGGAAGCUGGCCGAGAUCAGGAGCGCAUGAGUCUGGCAAAAAAGUCACUACUAAGACUUUACCAGGAGAAUGAGACCAAGAUCCGUCGAGCCCAGCUCCCUAAAAACAUCCUGUCCCUAAAGGGUGGACUGGAAGCGGCGAUGGAGAACUUAAGUGUCAGACUUCCCAAGCUUCUUCUUAAUGAAGAUGAGCAAAAUAUUUACAUUGUCGGGAGCAGUAGUGAUGUGUCUGAGGCCAAGCAGUUUCUCCUCCUAAACCACAGAGAAGAGAAAGAGGAAUUAGCUAGUGUUCUUCGAUAUCCUUUAAAUGAUCCAGGUACGACAUCUCAUGCUGAUGUGCAGAUCCCCCCCUUCACUUCUUCUGCCACUGUAGAGCCAGUUGAGGAUUCAAUGGAUCAGCUGCUGAGGUCAGAGGAGGAUGAGAGGAGAGACGAAGGAGCCAGAAGGUAUAAACUAGCAGCUCGAUUUAAAGAUUCAGGACUUGCUGCGUUAGGCAAUCGGCCAACUGACUUCAGCUUAAAAGGGCUCUCGUCUCCCAGAAACAAGCACACAUUAGGCCCAUGUUAGGGCAUGAUGUGUUAUCAGAAGCAGCAGGUAUUCCCGUUGGAAGAGCACAAGCCCAAAACACUGGAGGGGACAUCUUGUUCAGGAGUGGAGAUGCUUUCACUAUAACGGCCUCUGUGAGGAACAAAACAUCCUUGGACUCGCAUUUAACCGAUACUCGACCCAAGAGUUUUACAGCCCCACUUGCACUGCUCAGUCUAGUUUGUCAGAAAGUUCUCCACGUCCACCUGCUGGGUCCGGGUCCAACCUAAGGCGAACCAGUAGUUUCUCCGGAAUGCCUCAGCAGAAGGCCCAAAUUGUAGAACAGAAGAGUCAGGAUGACUCCGGCCAGACCAGAGCAAGAUCAUCUAGCUUCAGUCACCGAAAUGGUAGGGACAAGAAAGAAGUCUAUACUGCCGAGAUUACAGUUUCCCCUGCGAUGUGGCAGCACAUAAAAGAAGCCUACAGUGACCGAGUGCACGACCUCACCUCUGAUGUUCAGAUGAAAGACAGGGACUCAAAGGAUAACUGAUUUGACCGUCACCUUAAGAGGGGCAAACUGGUCCACAGUGAGUUCAUGUCAGAAAGGCUUGCAGAAGCUGGUUGAUUCGGUAAGUGUGGACUUUACUCUGCAGGAGCUGAAAUUGUCAGAGCUGGGUAUUACGGACAGAGCUGAUGAGAAUCUACAGGCUUGUUGUGCUGAGGUGCGUAGUCAGUUCAAGAAGGUAACCAUCCAUGUUUUAGAUACCAGCUUAUUUCUCCUUGGUCCUAAAAGGUUGUGUUCUCAGGUAGAUUCUUCACUGCGGGAGAUAUUUCUGGAGUUUUAGCUCCUAAUCUGAACAACAUGACUUAAGUAGUGCCUCUGCCUACAAGUCCAAUCAAUAUCCGUUUGUACAAAUGAAUGAGGACAAGGGUGCUAGUCUGCAGGGUACCAGUAAACCACAAGUAAUGCUAGAGAGCCCAACAAGUCCAGUUGAUGGGGCAGUUAUUAGUCAAGAAAGGAGAUCAGACCAUAGAAGUGACGUCCAAGAGACAGAACUUAUGAAUGGGUCUGUCACUAAACCCUCUGUGAAGAAAGAUCCUGUCAUUAAGGAGAAAUUGAAGCUUGUAGGUACAGCGACAAUAGAGGGACAGAGUACAGGAGAUGAUAGUAGUGUGAGUCGUGUGAAUGAUGUGGCGACAAAAACCAGUUCUGAUAAAGACAAGAGAGAGAGACCCACAGAUUUAACCCGAAGGGACAGUGUACAGCAAAGCCGAACAGAGAUCCAUGACACCCCACAGGAAUCCAGGUCUGCUGUUGGAGGUCUGUGCAUCUGUGUGUGUGGAGAGCGUGACAAGUUGAUGAAGAGAACCAAGUGUGGAGCAACCUUCUGCUCAAAGUGCCUGGACAUAGAACAUGCGCAGUGUAGUGUUUGCGAUGAGGCAGAGCAGACACCGCAGGGCAUCCAGGGCAAAAUGAAAUACUCCAAAAUAUACAUCAGAGUUCCAGGUCACCACAAAGACUCUGCAAUCAAGGUCACUUACAAGAUUCCUGAUGGCGUGCAAGGGGAGGGUCACCCUUCUCCAGGAAAACCCUUUAAAGGAGGGCUGUUUGAAGCUUUCUUCCCUGACUGCGAGGAGACAAGGAGGCAGUUGCCCAGGCUGGACAAAGCCUUUAAGAAAGGACUCACCUUCACAGUGAUUGACAGAGAAACAGGGGCCAAAGUCGAGUGGGACUGCAUCCCACACAAGACCUCCCUACAGGGAGGCAAAGCAGGGAGUGGUUAUCCAGAUUCCUUUUACUUGACUCGUCUGUCUAAGGUGUUGACCUCCCAUGGUAUCGAGGAGCCAACCACCAGAUAUUUAGAAUAAAAGCAACCUGAGGAGGAUAUUUGUGUGGUGAGGUGAUUUCAUGUGUUUACUUUUUUUUUUUUUUAAAUUACAGCCUUUUAAACCAACUCUCUAUGGUGAUAAGAACCAGGUUGCAUUGCUUUGUUUGACCAAUUGUAUGAUGUCUGAUGUAUAUAUUUUCAUAUAAAGGUUUUAAACCUGUCAUUGUAGUUGUUUCAGACUUAUGCAGGUUUGUUUUGUCUAUAAAAAACAUACUUUUCUGUGUGUUCAAAGCACUGUUAAGAUUAAUAUUUUUACUGUGCUCUUAAGGGCAAAGGAUGACCAAGAUUAGGGUAAAAAAAUAAUUUCUUAGUAGAAGAGCGAAAGUAAGUGAAAUAAAUUACUUUUUUAAUGUC